CUCCUGUUGAUUGUUGUAAUUGUUGAAAUGAGGGAAAAUCUACUGUCAGUCUGAGUUGCCAUGAAUGAACCUAUGAGGGGUUUAGAUUUGGUUACUUAAUCUUGUUAUAUAAUUAAUCCAACACUAAUUUUUUCGGUUUAAUUUCUCUUGUCGUUCUUGAUUCUAGUAUAAAGUCCUAAAAUCUCUCUGUUCAUUAGUCAGCUAAGUAUGCAAAAAUUGUACCUUUUAGCCAUGGAGAGUGGAGUCGGUGAGGAAACUGACUAUGCCACAUCCAUUUUACUUAUGUGAGAGAAAUAAAUCUGAUGAAGUACUAAGGAUAGGUAGUUCAUAGCAAACGAGGUAUUUGGAGAAAUUAGAUAAUGAACAUUCUGUUGAGACGAACCCAUGAUCCUUAAGUUUGAAAAUAUUACUAGCUGGUUUGAGUUGGCAUCGCCGGGAGGAGACAUAGAAACACGCCUGCCGAAGGAAAUACGUUGUCUAAAAACUGCAGAUGACAAGAAAUAUACAACCGUGGCGAUGGAAUAUUGAUAUGCAUAACCUUUAUAAGCCGAGUGAUGCCGUGAUGCAAGUUUUAAGUAUAUGAUCAGCACGAGCACAUACACAAGGGAUCGAGUUAUAAUUUGGAAUUGGAUCUUGCCCAAAAUGAGGAGAGGGAUAAUUUUUUUUUUUGAAGCAUUAAAUUAAUUAGGGAUGGAUGACAAUUCAGAAGGUGCUAGGAAAUUUGAAAGCAUCGAACCAGAACUGAAAUGGAAAGGCUUUGAUGGAAAAGUUUAUGUGCUGGGAUCCUAAACUCAGUUACAAGUUUUAAGCAAUGCACUGCAAUCCAAGUGAACAAUGGUUACUAAAAGAGCAGGAAAUUGAAGAUGUGGCUCAUCUUUUGAAUUUGCUUCCUGAUAUUGAUAGAGACAGUGGCCGUGAUCAAAGGGUUUGGCAGGCGAGGACAAAAGGUUUUUCUGUGGCAUAAUGUUAUAAAGCCUUAGAAGAUGAUGGUCUCUUGAGGUUUUCGUACAAGUCUGUUUGGAAUCCCAGAAUUCAUCAGAAGGUGGCAUUCUUUGUACGGACAUUGUGUUACAAUGCUGCUCCUACUUUGCAUUCUAAUUUAUAUAGGAAUAAUAUCAUGGUAAAUGGUUGCCUAUUAUGCAAGAAGUCAGCUGAAUCAAACCAGCAUAUCUUUCUUCAUUGUGAAACUACCAGGUCAGUGUAGUUUUACUUCUUGAAUUUUUAUAAAUUGCAGUGGUUUUUUCAUGAUUCAGUAAGAAGUAACAUCUGGGAAUGGAGAAAGAAAAAAUGCGAGAAUAGUUCAAUCAAAAACAAAAUUUGGGAUUUGUUUUCUUUUGCUAUUUGUUGGGCUAUGUGGAAUGAGGGGAAUGCAAGACUGUUUAAUGGGCAAUAUAAAACUCAAGAGGAAUUGAUUGAUAGUGUGAAGAUCAGUAUUUUUAAUUGUUGUUUUGGAACAUACAUCUUUGGAAACAUUUCUAUAAACUCUGUCUUGAAUAACUGGGAAGAUGUUACCGCUUAGUUGGGUAGAUAGCUUAUUUUUCUUGAUAGCUUGUUGGUUUUUAUUUUUGGGUUCUCUCUUUUGAUUUUUUUGGUUGUGCUCUAUUGAGUAUGGUCUUGUUUUUCUUUUUCA
Papaver somniferum (opium poppy) is the source of this 1630-nucleotide long non-coding RNA. RefSeq lists it as uncharacterized. The transcript has 2 exons. Lineage: Eukaryota; Viridiplantae; Streptophyta; Magnoliopsida; Ranunculales; Papaveraceae. The record is from RefSeq and is a predicted model, not a curated record.